GUAAAAGUCGUAACAAGGUUUCCGUAGGUGAACCUGCGGAAGGAUCAUUACCGAGAGUGGGACCUCGCGUCCCCCGGGGCUCCGGCCCCGACUCUUCACCCUGUGCGUACCCACCGUUGUUGCUUCGACGCUGUCCCCGUCGCCUGCCCCGGGGCUCGUACCCGGGUGCGGCGUGGGUGACCCCGCCGGAGGCCCCCCGAAACCCCGUCAUCAGUGUGGUCUGAGGAGAAAUCCAAUCAACUAAAACUUUCAACAACGGAUCUCUUGGUUCUGGCAUCGAUGAAGAACGCAGCGAAAUGCGAUAAGUAAUGUGAAUUGCAGAAUUCAGUGAAUCAUCGAAUCUUUGAACGCACAUUGCGCCCCUUGGCAUUCCGAGGGGCAUGCCUGUUCGAGCGUCAUUGCAACCCCUCAAGCGCUGCUUGGUGCUGGGCCUUCGUCCGCAGGGACGUGCCCGAAAGCCAGUGGCGGCCCGUCCGGGACCCCGAGCGUAGUAAGCUACAUUCGCCCAGGGAGCUCCCGCCGCGGCCGGCCAGACAACCCCCCCCCCCGGAUUUUUCAAUGGUUGACCUCGGAUCAGGUAGGGAUACCCGCUGAACUUAAGCAUAUCAAUAAGCGGAGGAAAAGAAACCAACAGGGAUUGCCUCAGUAACGGCGAGUGA
This 659-nucleotide ribosomal RNA is filed under the name Porpidia sp. Orange 19095 (NMW - C2011014104). RNAcentral's name for it is "eukaryotic LSU rRNA". The stretch from base 245 to 398 matches the Rfam family "5.8S ribosomal RNA". The record is from RNAcentral. Lineage: Eukaryota; Fungi; Ascomycota; Lecanoromycetes; Lecideales; Lecideaceae.